This 89-nucleotide transfer RNA is filed under the name Aeropyrum pernix. It matches the Rfam family "tRNA". From Rfam's summary of the family: Transfer RNA (tRNA) molecules are approximately 80 nucleotides in length. Their secondary structure includes four short double-helical elements and three loops (D, anti-codon, and T loops). RNAcentral also lists the same sequence under 2 other names. The record is from RNAcentral. Lineage: Archaea; Thermoproteati; Thermoproteota; Thermoprotei; Acidilobales; Acidilobaceae.
GCCGGGGUGCCCGAGCGGUCCAAGGGGACGGGCUGGAGACCCGUUGCCCCGCGAGGGGCGCGCGGGUUCGAAUCCCGCCCCCGGCGCCA